GACGAACGCUGGCGGCGCGCUUAACACAUGCAAGUCGAGCGAGAACCCUCCUUCGGGAGGGGGACAGCGGCGAACGGGUGAGUAACACGUGGGUAAUCUGCCCUCGGUUCUGGGAUAGCCCGGGGAAACCCGGAUUAAUACCGGAUAGCCUCUCGAGCUCUCGGGCUCGUGAGAAAAGGUAGCUUCGGCCUCCGAUCGAGGAGGAGCCCGCGGCGGAUUAGCUUGUUGGUGGGGUAACGGCCCACCAAGGCGACGAUCCGUAGCUGGUCUGAGAGGACGAUCAGCCACACUGGGACUGAGACACGGCCCAGACUCCUACGGGAGGGCAGCAGUGGGGAAUCUUGCGCAAUGGGCGAAAGCCUGACGCAGCGACGCCGCGUGAGGGAAGAAGGCCUUCGG
This 399-nucleotide ribosomal RNA is filed under the name uncultured bacterium. RNAcentral's name for it is "bacterial SSU rRNA". It matches the Rfam family "Bacterial small subunit ribosomal RNA", at positions 28 to 421 of the family's 1533-position model. The record is from RNAcentral.